This 496-nucleotide ribosomal RNA is filed under the name uncultured bacterium. Its description in RNAcentral is "partial 16S ribosomal RNA". It matches the Rfam family "Bacterial small subunit ribosomal RNA", at positions 30 to 523 of the family's 1533-position model. The record is from RNAcentral.
AUUGAACGCUGGCGGCAUGCUUUACACAUGCAAGUCGAACGGUAGAGGGGGCAACCCCUUGAGAGUGGCGAACGGGUGAGUAAUGCAUCGGAACGUGCCCAGUCGUGGGGGAUAACGCAGCGGAAGCUGUGCUAAUACCGCAUACGAUCUUUGGAUGAAAGCGGGGGACCGAAAGGCCUCGCGCGAUUGGAGCGGCCGAUGUCAGAUUAGGUAGUUGGUGGGGUAAAGGCCUACCAAGCCAACGAUCUGUAGCUGGUCUGAGAGGACGACCAGCCACACUGGGACUGAGACACGGCCCAGACUCCUACGGGAGGCAGCAGUGGGGAAUUUUGGACAAUGGGCGCAAGCCUGAUCCAGCAAUGCCGCGUGCAGGAAGAAGGCCUUCGGGUUGUAAACUGCUUUUGUACGGAACGAAACGGUCUGGGUUAAUACCCUGGGCUAAUGACGGUACCGUAAGAAUAAGCACCGGCUAACUACGUGCCAGCCGCCGCAGUAA